AUUGAACGCUGGCGGCAUGCCUUACACAUGCAAGACGAACGGCAGCACGGGUGCUUGCACCUGGUGGCGAGUGGCGAACGGGUGAGUAAUACAUCGGAACAUGUCCUGUAGUGGGGGAUAGCCCGGCGAAAGCCGGAUUAAUACCGCAUACGAUCUACGGAUGAAAGCGGGGGACCUUCGGGCCUCGCGCUAUAGGGUUGGCCGAUGGCUGAUUAGCUAGUUGGUGGGGUAAAGGCCUACCAAGGCGACGAUCAGUAGCUGGUCUGAGAGGACGACCAGCCACACUGGGACUGAGACACGGCCCAGACUCCUACGGGAGGCAGCAGUGGGGAAUUUUGGACAAUGGGCGAAAGCCUGAUCCAGCAAUGCCGCGUGUGUGAAGAAGGCCUUCGGGUUGUAAAGCACUUUUGUCCGGAAAGAAAUCCUUGGCCCUAAUACGGUCGGGGGAUGACGGUACCGGAAGAAUAAGCACCGGCUAACUACGUG
RNAcentral lists this ribosomal RNA (486 nucleotides) under uncultured bacterium. Its description in RNAcentral is "partial 16S ribosomal RNA". It matches the Rfam family "Bacterial small subunit ribosomal RNA", at positions 30 to 507 of the family's 1533-position model. The record is from RNAcentral.